CUUCGUGAAUUUUAUGGCAAUGCUUUAAAGAAGGUAUCCAAACAAAGCCCUAGGCCAGAAAUUUUAUCGCAUUUUUCCGCGGGAACGGCAUUGCAGCUUUCUCAAGUCAUCGGGACAGAACUACUGCCCGUUUGGUUGCUGUGCUGAUUGUAUUUUGGUUCUUGUACAGUUCCAUAAGACAGACUAAAGAGGAAGGGAAAGUUAUUCAGUAGCCACCAUAACGGCUAGAUGCAAGUUUAAAAUAUAUUUGUUCCUUAAUAAUGUUCAAUACAAGUUCGAAAUACAGCUUUUAAAUUCUUCCAUACAUAUAAGAAUGUAGAUAUUAUUGUUACUUGAACAUAUUUUAGCUGGUUAUGGCAUUACAAUUUCGACAAAAGGUUAAGAAUCACUACCUACGGUGUUCAACCCCUCAAAUAAUCCCUUUAGGAACAUGGUUGGUUCCUCUUGUGCUGUUGAGAAGGUAGUAUCUCACAUUGAGAUGCCUCUCGUCUGAGGUUGGGCGAGGGUAAUGAUGGCUUGGUCUGUCAUGGGCAUUUACUUUUAAUCUGGGCUCAUUUUCUAUUUCCAUUUGUUCACUUUCAGGCCCACAUAUAUAUUUUCGUAAUGAUCCAUUAAACAAACUCCUACAUCUUAUUUUCUCAGCCCAAUACUCCUUGUAUGGGCUUGCAGGAUUUUGGAGAGGAGUCAGAUCAGAAGGUAUAACGCUUGAUGUCUCUUGGGUCCAGGUCUUGGAACGAUCGCGGGUGUCCUUGGGCAUGGGAAAGCAAAGCUCCGACUCCCAAUUAUUAAGGAAAAAAAUAAAUGAUCCAUGCUGUUGCUCUGUCGCUGGCCAUAAAUGGAGGAGAUUUGAAUCUACAAUCUGAGGUAUCACUAUUUGGCUAUUUGUUUAUCUGUAUCUUUACUUCACUUCCAAAUGUCUUUUCUAAAAGAUAUAUAUAAGAUAAUAAAUUCUCGUUGUAUAAAAAUUCAACCAGUUAAAUCUAACUAGG
Molecule: long non-coding RNA, 989 nt
Organism: Momordica charantia (bitter melon)
Lineage: Eukaryota; Viridiplantae; Streptophyta; Magnoliopsida; Cucurbitales; Cucurbitaceae
Source: RefSeq, a predicted model, not a curated record